AUCAACUUUCGAUGGUAGGAUAGAGGCCUGCCAUGGUGGUAACGGGUAACGGGGUGUUAGGGCACGACACCGGAGAGGGAGCCUGAGAAACGGCUACCACAUCCAAGGAUGGCAGCAGGCGCGCAAAUUACCCAAUCCCGACACGGGGAGGUAGUGACAAUAAAUAACAAUACGGGGUUCUUUCGGAUUUCGUAAUUGGAAUGAGUACAAUUUAAAUCUCUUAACGAGGAACAAUUGGAGGGCAAGUCUGGUGCCAGCAGCCGCGGUAAUUCCAGCUCCAAUAGCGUAUAUUAAAGUUGUUGCAGUUAAAAAGCUCGUAGUUGAAUUUCGGGAUCGACGGGUCGGUCGCGCCUCUGGUGUGUACUGGCCCUGUCGGUUUCUCCCUUCUGACGAACCACGAUGUCAUUAAUUUGGUGUCGUGGGAAAUCAGGACUGUUACUUUGAAAAAAUUAGAGUGUUUAAAGCAGGCAUUCGUCUGAAUACAUUAGCAUGGAAUAAUGAAAUAGGACGUUUGAUCCUAUUUUGUUGGUUUCUAGGAGCAUCGUAAUGAUUAAUAGGGAUAGUUGGGGGCAUUAGUAUUCAAUUGUCAGAGGUGAAAUUCUUGGAUUUAUUGAAGACUAACUACUGCGAAAGCAUUUGCCAAGGAUGUUUUCAUUAAUCAAGAACGAAAGUUAGGGGAUCGAAGACGAUCAGAUACCGUCGUAGUCUUAACCAUAAACUAUGCCGACUAGGGAUCGGGCGAUGUUGUUUCAAUGACUCGCUCGGCACCUUAUGGGAAACCAAAGUGUUUGGGUUC
Molecule: ribosomal RNA, 796 nt
Filed under: uncultured fungus
Lineage: Eukaryota; Fungi
Description: SSU rRNA
Rfam family: Eukaryotic small subunit ribosomal RNA
Source: RNAcentral